UAAAAAUUAGUUUAAUUAAAAUAUUAAUUUGUCAAAUUAGAGAAUUUGAAAUAAUUCAAAAUUUUUA
Molecule: transfer RNA, 67 nt
Filed under: Philaenus spumarius (meadow spittlebug)
Lineage: Eukaryota; Metazoa; Arthropoda; Insecta; Hemiptera; Aphrophoridae
Description: tRNA-Asp
Source: RNAcentral